GACGAACGCUGGCGGCGUGCUUAACACAUGCAAGUCGAACGGAAAGGCCCUGCUUUUGUGGGGUGCUCGAGUGGCGAACGGGUGAGUAACACGUGAGUAACCUGCCCUUGACUUUGGGAUAACUUCAGGAAACUGGGGCUAAUACCGGAUAGGAGCUCCUGCUGCAUGGUGGGGGUUGGAAAGUUUCGGCGGUUGGGGGUGGACUCGCGGCUUAUCAGCUUGUUGGUGGGGUAGUGGCUUACCAAGGCUUUGGCGGGUAGCCGGCCUGGGAGGGUGAACGGCCACAUUGGGACUGAGAUACGGCCCAGACUCCUACGGGAGGCAGCAGUGGGGAAUAUUGCACAAUGGGCGGAAGCCUGAUGCAGCAACGCCGCGUGCGGGAUGACGGCCUUCGGGUUGUAAACCGCUUUCGCCUGUGACGAAGCGUGAGUGACGGUAAUGGGUAAAGAAGCACCGGCUAACUACGUG
This 468-nucleotide ribosomal RNA is filed under the name uncultured bacterium. RNAcentral describes it as "partial 16S ribosomal RNA". It matches the Rfam family "Bacterial small subunit ribosomal RNA", at positions 28 to 507 of the family's 1533-position model. The record is from RNAcentral.